AGCUGUGUAUCUUAUAUUAAAGUUUUAAUUUUGUAAAUUAAAGAAGUAUAUUUUAAGUAUAUUAUAGCUU
This 70-nucleotide transfer RNA is filed under the name Megalyra sp. MM-2014. RNAcentral's name for it is "tRNA-Thr". The record is from RNAcentral. Lineage: Eukaryota; Metazoa; Arthropoda; Insecta; Hymenoptera; Megalyridae.